UACAGAGACUGCAAGCGUUAUUCGGAUUCACUGGGCGUAAAGGGUGCGCAGGCGGCCAUGCGUGUCUUCCGUGAAAUCCCUCGGCUUAACCGAGGACGUGCGGAAGAAACUGCAAGGCUCGAGUCCGGAAGAGGGGGGCGGAAUUCCCAGUGUAGCGGUGAAAUGCGUAGAUAUUGGGAGGAACACCAGUGGCGAAGGCGGUCCCCUGGGCCGGAACUGACGCUGAUGCGCGAAAGCGUGGGGAGCAAACGGG
RNAcentral lists this ribosomal RNA (253 nucleotides) under uncultured bacterium. Its description in RNAcentral is "partial 16S ribosomal RNA". It matches the Rfam family "Bacterial small subunit ribosomal RNA", at positions 524 to 776 of the family's 1533-position model. The record is from RNAcentral.